UCCGUAAUGGUGUAAUGGUUAGCAUUUCUGCCUCUCAAUCCGGUUCCAACAUCCUUUCGGGGCGAGGGACUGGAAGAGCUCAUCCUUCGGGGUGCCUCGGGGCUCGCAGGAGAUCAGGGUUCAAUUCCCUGUUACGGAA
Molecule: transfer RNA, 139 nt
Filed under: Lachnellula occidentalis
Lineage: Eukaryota; Fungi; Ascomycota; Leotiomycetes; Helotiales; Lachnaceae
Rfam family: tRNA
About the family: Transfer RNA (tRNA) molecules are approximately 80 nucleotides in length. Their secondary structure includes four short double-helical elements and three loops (D, anti-codon, and T loops).
Source: Rfam by way of RNAcentral